GUCAGCGGUGAAAUUUUGCAGCUUAACUGUAAAAGUGCCGUUGAUACUGUGAGGCUAGGAUUUGGUUGCUGUGGGUGGAAUGUGUGGUGUAGCAGUGAAAUGCUUAGAGAUCACACAGAAUAUCGAUUGCGAAGGCAGCUCACAAAGCCAAAAUUGACGCUGAGGCACGAAAGUGUGGGGAUCAAACAGGAUUAGAUACCCUGGUAGUCCACACUGUAAACGAUGAUAACUCGCUGUCGGCGAUAUACAGUCCGUGGCCAAACCAAAGCCAUAAAUUAUCCCCCUGGGGAAUACCACCGCCAGGGUGAAACUCCAAGGAAUUGACGGGGGCCCCCACAAGCGGAAGAACCUGUUGUUUAAUUUCAUGAUACCCCAGGAACCUUACCCGGGCUCCAACGGUGCAUGAAUAUGGUAGAUAUAUCGUAGCUAGCAAUACUCUGUAUCAAGGUGCUGCAUGGUUGUCGUCAGCUCGUGCCGUGGGGUGUCGGCUAAAAUGCCAUAACGAGCGCACCCCUUGUCAUUA
This 523-nucleotide ribosomal RNA is filed under the name uncultured bacterium. RNAcentral describes it as "bacterial SSU rRNA". It matches the Rfam family "Bacterial small subunit ribosomal RNA", at positions 587 to 1113 of the family's 1533-position model. The record is from RNAcentral.